AAAGAAUUAGUUAAACUAUAACAUAAAUAUGUCAAAUUUAAAUUAUUAUUUAUUAUAUAAUAUUCUUUU
This 69-nucleotide transfer RNA is filed under the name Nola holsatica. RNAcentral's name for it is "tRNA-Asp". Lineage: Eukaryota; Metazoa; Arthropoda; Insecta; Lepidoptera; Nolidae. The record is from RNAcentral.